UACGUAUGGGGCAAGCGUUAUCCGGAUUUACUGGGUGUAAAGGGAGCGUAGGCGGCAGGGCAAGCCUGAUGUGAAAGCCCGGGGCUCAACCCCGGGACUGCAUUGGGAACUGCCCCGCUCGAGUGCCGGAGGGGCAGGCGGAAUUCCUAGUGUAGCGGUGAAAUGCGUAGAGAUAUGGAGGAACACCAGUGGCGAAGGCGGCUUCCUGGUCUGCAACUGACACUGAGGCGCGAAAGCGUGGGGAGCAAACAGG
RNAcentral lists this ribosomal RNA (253 nucleotides) under uncultured Lachnospiraceae bacterium. RNAcentral describes it as "partial 16S ribosomal RNA". It matches the Rfam family "Bacterial small subunit ribosomal RNA", at positions 524 to 776 of the family's 1533-position model. Lineage: Bacteria; Bacillati; Bacillota; Clostridia; Lachnospirales; Lachnospiraceae. The record is from RNAcentral.